Eriocheir sinensis (Chinese mitten crab) is the source of this 678-nucleotide long non-coding RNA. RefSeq lists it as uncharacterized. The record is from RefSeq and is a predicted model, not a curated record. The transcript has 3 exons. Lineage: Eukaryota; Metazoa; Arthropoda; Malacostraca; Decapoda; Varunidae.
AUAGUUUGACAAGGCUUUGGUGGAGGUUGUUGUGUUAGUAUUUCCAUGGGUAGUGUUAUGAGCCUGGUGAUAGUUUGACAAGGCUUUGGUGGAGGUUGUUGUGUUAGUAUUUCCAUGGGUAGUGUUAUGAGCCUGGUGAUAGUUUGACAAGGCUUUGGUGGAGGUUGUUGUGUUAGUAUUGCCAUGGGUAGUGUUAUGAGCCUGGUGAUAGUUUGACAAGGCUUUGGUGGAGGUUGUUGUGUUAGUAUUUCCAUGGGUAGUGUUAUGAGCCUGGUGAUAGUUUGACAAGGCUUUGGUGGAGGUUGUUGUGUUAGUAUUUCCAUGGGUAGUGUUAUGAGCCUGGUGAUAGUUUGACAAGGCUUUGGUGGAGGUUGUUGUGUUAGUAUUUCCAUGGGUAGUGUUAUGAGCCUGGUGAUAGUUUGACAAGGCUUUGGUGGAGGUUGUUGUGUUAGUAUUUCCAUGGGUAGUGUUAUGAGCCUGGUGAUAGUUUGACGAGGCUUUGGUGGAGGUUGUUGUGUUAGUAUUGCCAUGGGUAGUGUUAUGAGCCUGGUGAUAGUUUGACAAGGCUUUGGUGGAGGUUGUUGUGUUAGUAUUUCCAUGGGUAGUGUUAUGAGCCUGGUGAUAGUUUGACAAGGCUUUGGUGGAGGUUGUUGUGUUAGUAUUGCCAUGGGUAGUGUU